Molecule: ribosomal RNA, 117 nt
Filed under: Ochotona princeps (American pika)
Lineage: Eukaryota; Metazoa; Chordata; Mammalia; Lagomorpha; Ochotonidae
Source: RNAcentral
GUCUACGGCCAUACCACUCUGAACGCGCCCGAUCUCGUCUGAUCUCAGAAGCUAAGCAGGGUCAGGCCUGGUUAGUACUUGGAUGGGAGACUCUCAUGGCUCACAGGCUCUGAGCUU